UACGUAAAACGUGCUUUUUUGUUUUUGAAUUCAACCUGGCCCAUGUGACGUACAGACCCGCCACAAAUACAAAGUUCCUCUACCACACGAACAGAGUUUCUUUUGUAUUUGCACGGCGUACCCAACAAUAACAACAACAUGAUCACAUGUCACACCCCAAGGUCCCUUUUUGAUUGGAAGUGCCCAAUUUUCUUUUUUUUAAACCUUGACCCCAGAGGAUGUUUGAUCCGCCACAAAUACAGAGAAUUUCACUGUUCACAUGGACAGAGUCUCUCCUGUAUUUGCAGGGCGUCGCAUAAGUACAAGAUACAACCACGAAUAUAUGAAUAUCUACGUACAUUCACCAUUCACAUUCACAUUCGUUUCAUCAUAGAUAUACAUAACUUCACAUCUAUUAGUUUCAAAUGUUUCCCACUAAGAAACUCAUUUUGAAACAUUAAGAAUCAUGGAAAACUAAGAAAAAUCUUUUUAAAACCGUUUCCCACACGGAAACCUUUUUCUUUAAAAAUACGCUACCAUGAGGGGUAGAAAAUUAUUUUUAUAAUCUCAUAUGAAAACCAUAAUUACUUUAUUAAUUUCACAAAGCUAUGUGAAUCCAAAUAAAGCAAAACCAACUGAACCAUAACAUGUUUAAAUCAUUUAUUUCGAGAAAGUAAGGUUAGAAACUAAACCAAGCCAACCCAGUCGGAAGCUCUAUCGACCGCUAAAUACUCGCCUCACGUACCAUCCCAACUCGGAUCGGCAAUGUCACUUGAAAUGGAGGUUGGACGUUAGAACAUGUACACAUGUCUUCCCUCCCAGUGGGUACCACAAGCCGACGAGGGUGAGGAGUACUCACCGACAGAAAGAGAUCAUCAUAGUCAUAGGUAGAUAUCACAAAUACAGUAGCUAAUAUGCUGGAAGGAAAGGUAACAGUAAUAGAACCUGUAACUACCGCUACUGUAAAAUAGAACAAAAUGCAUACAUGGAUAUCAUAACUACAGUAGCAAUGAUGCGUGGGUAAACAACAAUAGAUAGAAGUAUAACUAGCCGCUACUGUAAAACAGAACAAAGUGCAAGUAUACAUCAACCGGACGAUUAGUCCCCAAAAUACCUAAUCUGAAACCUGCCAUAUCGGUCCGCAGACCUUAAGCGUGUGCCACUGCGACUCUACCUGCAUAUAACCCAGCCUAGGCCGCUGGGUUCAUGGGUUGGCACGCCGAACCACUUUUUCAAAAAAGAACACCCUCUUACGGUGGAUCAGACUGCUGGUGUUCGUGAAAUGCGAACGAGUCUCGGGCGAUCAAUGCUGAUAUGCUCAAUAGCCAAUCGUCGGCAACUAGCCGACAAUCACCGGCCCUCGGGGCACACCGACCAAUAGGCCAUCGAACUAUAAGGAAUACAAGUACCGACCACUCAGGUCAACUAGGAUAGAACAACUCAACAUCCUUCCGAAGGUAUGCAAGUAUCGACCACUCAAUGUCAACUAACAUAUAUGCACAAGAAUCGACCAAUAGGUCACAAGAAUGUCACGUUAUGUAUUGGUAUAAUCCAGAACUAGCCGUCAGCCACUAGGCAACAAUCCUACACCUCAGGGUACACCGACCUUAUAGGUCAUCAAGUAGUCCAACCGACCAAGUAGGUCACAAUAACAGAUGCAGUAAACCGACUGAAUAGGUCACAGUACGAGAUACAAGAACCGACCAACUAGGUCAUGAUCUCACAUGAAAUCAUACACUCCUACUCAUGGUGCUAGACAUGAAAACAACCAAAUAGAGUGUAACAGGAAUAACAGGGGUGCUAGGCUCAACCCUAUAUAUAUAUAUAUGCAAAGUAAUAACAAGAGAACAAGGGUAAGAAGAUGUCAUCAAGAGUGCACCACUGUACUAACUUCGGGUCGAAGUACCUACUUGUACAAAUGCAGUGCUCAUCUCCCGACUGUAGAAGAGUGUCAAUCGGACCUACGAAGGGUCCACCGGGUUAGAUUUUAACCCACAAACAAGGAACACUAAACUCACAAUCCCACCUUUAAACCCACGGGAAUCGGCUUCCCAAAAUCGAUUACCAUAACACGCCGGGAAUCCCGAAAAUUGCACCGGGACUCCGCCGGGGCCAACAAAGUGUCCCGGGACUCACCGACUCGCGCCACGAGUCAUCCGUUGCCACACAACACCAUAAUUUGUGUGACUCGGCAGCAAACACAUCUCCUCACAUCGAAACAAUUAUCGCCAGAUAAUCGCUCCGAUCCGGGUUCCCGGAAGUGUCAAUUUCGACACCGGAACCCCCUGUCGCUCACCCAUCAUUUUCGAACCCUCGAAACGAUGCAGGUGACCAGCCAACAAGGCUCAGCGACAACAUGAUCUACCGUGAGGCACCGUUGGAAGAAUUCUGAACUGAAAUCGGGUUCCAUCGGCGGAUUUCACCAGAAAACGCACCGAAAAACAACAUCCGAUUUCCGAAAAGGUCUGGGGCCUUGGACAACUAGUCCAAAGGUCACUCGUUGCCCGCACACGCUGCCAACAGCAACAACAAAACCUAAAAUUGCAUAAAAGCCCCUGUGACUACAUAAAAUCGCAUCAUUUUAUGUGAUUUUCGGGAUUUUACGCCCCGACAGCGCAAACCAAGGACUUUGGAGUCUAUCCGAGACACCUGCUAAUAGGUCUCGAUGUGCCGGAGGCCGUGCUCACACAUUGGAGCAUGGCCGGCCACUGUGGCGAGCGCGGGAGCGACGCGAAGUUCAGCGAACCCUGCGCUGAACCUAAAACACUUCUAAUUCACUUAUCCGGGGCUUGUUGACCCUAAAUAAGGUGAGAACUAUGAUCUGCACUGACCAACGAUCACCAUGCUCACCUUUGGUGGCAUAGGAACAACCUCGGGUCACCGAAACAGUGACUUGAACAGGAAACAGUGCACAAACUAGCUUAAUCAAGCUUACCGGGCCAACGGGAGCUAGGGCACGGUUGGCGGCAGCCCGGCGGCGGGCGCACCGGCAUUGAUGCCCUAGCCGUACUGCCAUGGAGGAGUCUAGCUAGGGUCCGGUCAAUAGGGGGCUCCGGCGGCAGGGAAAUCGGCGGCAGCCGGGUGCGAUCGACCUAGGGGAGCCGGUGCUCACACCAGCCGGCGGCGGGGUGCAGCGGUGGCGGCGCUGGAGCAACUUGAGCCUGCACGGGCCUGUCUCGGGCUCAACUGGUCACAAUGGCCACAACGGAGGCCGGUGAGCUACGGGGUGACGACGAGGGGUUGCCGGAGGCUGGAGGAAGGCGGUGUUGCCGACCCUAGGCGGUGGUGGCGUGUGGGAUAGAGAUCGGCUCGACAUCGGUCCGAGCUGGAUCGAGACGGCCGCAAAGAGCUUUGGCAGCCGGCGAAGGGUUGCCGGAGGCCUAGGAGGGUGGCGCGGUCGGCCAAGGGUGGCGGCGGCGCGCGGCCCAUAAGCAAGCUUGGGCUCGGCCCGAGUAGACCUCAACUGGCCGCGGGUCGCCCAGGCGGCGACGGUGGCGGGUGCGAAUGGCGGGGGCCGGCGGGGACGCACGGGUGAUGAUGGGGGCCCGAGGUUGUGGAUUAUCCUGGGUGGUCCACGGCAGAGAGGAGGAGGUGGUUUGGUGGAGAGGAUGGCAAGGCUAGCUUUUCCGGUGGCCGGGGACGCUCGCCGGCGGCCAGGGUGCGCGCGGUAAGGGGCAGGGAGAGGUGGUGGAGUCUGCAGGGGGCGCAGCUGAGGGAGUGGAGGAAGCUUAGGGUUAGGGUUUGCAUGAAACCCUAACAUUGGCUUUUAUAUAGGUUGUCAAAAUACAAUUUAGUCCUUUCUAGCUGCAUAUUUCCAACUAAGUCCUUCACAACGCAUGUAUUUCGCGCGUACGCACCUCGACGUUCGAAAUCGUGCAAAACGGUACAUAAAAUAUUAGACUUUUCGCGAAUUUUUCAUUUUGCCAUUUUCGACCCCUCAGCGAACCUUAUGCAAAUCCCGAAGAUCCGUCUGUCGAAUUUUCGAUCGGAUUGUACCAGCGUGUUCAGCACGACCGGGGCAAUGAACUCACAAUUUCGUUUCAUCCGAUAUGAUCGCCGAUUUGCGACGAAACCCAUCCAUUCUCCAAUUUCUCCUAAAACCACACGUAUAUUUGUAAAUCCAUUAAACCCUCUUUUUCUCGAAAAUCGUGCAUCAAAACCCAAUUUCGUCAGUUCCAGUGGGUCCAGGAUAGUCGAACCGUCGAAAACGAGCUAUUAGAUCACUAUAAACGGAGUCCAAUAUGAACCAGAAGCUAUCUCCACUAAUUAGACUCUCCGAAAAACCGGAGAUACUAUUCACUUUAAGUGAUUAGUACAGGUCGCGUAACUUUUCCAUCCUAACUCAUUUUCUCCUGAAACUUGACGAGUGCUUAUAUAAGUAAAUUACACACAAAAACAUCAUCAACAAGGAGUUUAGCUACACUGCCAAAUUCUCAGUCCUUACAUCACAACUCACAACCUACAUUCACCAAUCCACAAGCAAUUAAUACGAUGCAAUUCUUUACAGCUAGCGAUCUUUAAAGAUAAUGUAUGCCUCUAAACACUCCUUAGGCAUUGGAUCAUACGAUGCACAUUAAAAUAAUCAUCCUAUUUAAAAGUGCUCCCCACUCGGAAGGUUUGUUUUUAAACUCUAUUUGAUCAUCCAUGAAAACCAUUUGAAAACCUUUUAAAAUUGUUUCCUACUCAGAAACUCCAUUUUUGAAAACCGACUAUCUUGAGUGGUACAAAACCACAAUGCAUGAAUACAUAAAUCCAAAUACCAAAAAUUCAUAAAACUCCAAUUGCAUGCAUAAUAGAAAGCAUCAACUCAUAUAAGUUCACGAUUAUUCAAGCAAGAACAAUGAUCAUCUAACUGAACCAUUUUAUUAUUUAAACUACUAAAUAUGGAAAGGAAAAUAACCGAGGUGACGACUGCUACUACAGCAUAGCUAUGACGUCCUCCCGUCGCGCCAAAAACCAACUCCUUGCCCGUGCUACCUGGGGAAAUGGCGGGUGAGAAACCACAACAAAGCUUCUCACUGGGUACGAUAGAGCCACGAAGGCAAAUCGUAUUCACUGAAAAACAAAGGAGAUGGAACAACAGAUAUGUAUAUGAUAUGAUACAAGAGCAACUAUGGUAGUAGAAGAAACAGGAUAGUAAAUUAGCAAGAACCAAACUACUACUGUAACAAAAACUCAACUGAACAGAUGCCUCAGGGGUAAAUAUUCUAAGUCAAACCCAAUCUGGUGUCUGCCAUAUUGGUCAGUAGACCUCAAGUGUUGCUUGUCACAGUGCAUACACUGACCUAAUUCACGCAGCCACUGACGACCCAUCCGGAUAAGUAAACCCCUGGUCGGUGGCCAAACCGACCUGAUGUCUAGGAAUACACACAGUACUGUGACUAAAUCAUGCUGAUAUGCUCAAUGUGAAAGCUGGCAGAAAAUCGCUGCUUUGGCCAAAGACAGAUACGAGGGUGUACAACGUCGAACCAUGAUCAACCAGAUCGAAACACACGACAAAGGAGUUCAUGUGUUGCCUGGAUCCAAGGUCUACAGAUAUUCAAUAUAUGCAAGCCUACUCUACAUGUCUAAUAACAACUAUCAUCAUGCAAUUAUCAAGAUAUAGACGAACGAACGAUAAAAAAAAUGCAACCGACAUGUAGAGACUAAAGUACUGAUAUGCAAGUGCAAUAACAAGGGAGAGGAAAAUGAAACGAUCUCACCGACUAGCUACCAGCUCGAAGCGCUCACCUGUAUCAGUGUCGUGCCUGUCUCUAAACUGUAUACAAUCGUCAACUGGACCUACGGAGGAUCCACUGGGUCCAAGACAGUCGGACCGUUGAAAACGAGCUAUUGGAUCACCAUAAACGGAGUCCGAUACGCGCCAGAAGCCAUCUCUACUCAUUGGCCUCUCCGAAAAAUCUGACUUAUUAUUCACUUUAAGUGAAAAGUAAAGAUCGCGUAAAAUCUCUAUCCUAACUCAUUUUUUCCCACAACUUGACGAGUGUUUUUGUAAUUAAAAUACACAAAAAAAUAUCGUUAACAGAGAGUUUAGCUACACAGGCAAAUUCUCAGUCCUCACAUUAUUCCCCCUUAAGGAAUGUUUAGUCCACGAAACUUGCUCACAGGUAAGGGUGAUAUGAUGCUCAACGAGCCAAAACAACACAUGCAUCUCAAAGGCAAGAACAUGCGACGCAAGAAAUGAUGCAUUGGUAACGAAAAGCGUCCUAUUUACGACCUCAAACAAAAGUUAUACUUGCAACGACGUCAGCCGAUUGAUCUUCCUCCUAUCGCGUCAUCAUGUAGAUGCGUCCGCCAGUGACCUAGUGUGCCCCCUCCUCCUGCCGGGAUGUCGAGGGGCGUCCAGAUAAAGAAUACAUCGUGUUGCCACGAUGCUGUCAUGGAGCUGCUGGAGUAGACGCUACAGUAGAUGGUGUUCCUAGCCUGUUGGCACAGUCUGUCCGAAGGUUUCCAUGUUGGCCACACUUGUAACAGUGAUUGUGGCGCUUUGGGCACUCAUAAACCUUGUGAGCCUUGCCGCAAAUGACACAAGUUUUGGUACUCUGCCUCUGAGAUGUAGCGGGGACGCUGCUCAAUCCCGACUGCGUUUUCCUAUGUUUAGGUAGCCGCCCGUCGGUCGAUUGGCCACCACCAAAACUCUCUUGUGCACGCUUCUUAUCCUCGUUCUUCUCAGAUGCAUCCCAUUCGAUUCGUGCCUCUUCCAUGUCAUUCUAUACCAUCAGGGCUCGCUCCAGGCUCUCGUCGAACAUUAACACGCCAUGGGACGCGAUCAAAACCUGAAUAUUGGGCCUUAGUUCCCUCGCAAACAUUCGGGCCUUGCGGUACUAGUCACGGACCACGAACGGAAUUAGCCCAACAAUGCGAGAAAAGUCUCGCUCAUAUUCUGCCACGGUACGGUUGCCCUGUUUGAGACGCUCUAGCACGCACUCCAGACCUUGUUUGGUGCUAUCCUUGAAGUACUUGCUAGAGAGGAGUUCCCGAAACUCCUUCCAGGGUGGGUAGGUCUCAGCAAGCUUCUUCUUGAAGUAACGCAACCACCAACCGUACGCCUCAUCCUCCAGGCAAUGGGCAGCCAGAGGAACUUUAUCCUGCUCCUCCAUAUACAGAUUACAGAAAAACUUCUCUAUGUGGGCAACCCAGCGCUCGACUGCCCAACUAUCAUCGUUCCUUUUUGUAAACUUGGCGGAUCAAACUUCCGGAACUACGCCAACCUCGCCCUAAUGCCGGCGCCCUCCGUUGCAGGGGCGUCAGUACCCCCAGCGGAAACCGUCGUGGUGGCCAUCGUCGUCGUUGUGAUAGCUGGAGCUGCAACUGGUGCAGACAUCACAGGAGGGUUUGCGAUUACCAGAGUGCCUUGUGCCGGAGGUGGAACUGGGGCAGUAGCAGCUGCUGCAGCCUGCUUCUGUAAGAACUGCUGGAACAUGCCAGAGAGGGCCGUCAGCUGACCCCUCAAAUCAGCCACCUGGGCCUCGAGCUGCUGGGUGCAACUAUCACUCAGCGGCUCAAUGCCCACCUGUACCCUACCACUUCUACUCAUAGGAGCACGAUCUCUUGUACCACCGGAUGUCUUCGUACCCGCGUGUCCAUCACCGCAGCCUAGACGAGGGGGUCUACCACGAGCCAUCUGCAACAAAAAACACCGUCAAGCGAACGAAAGUCAACACAAGCAUCGAAGAAUACGCGAGGGCGUACUAAGGUGCUCAAAUUGUUUAAAAGGAUCAAACCUAUGAAGAUCAAAUUCAAUGAAUAUGGACAAUCUAUUGGAAAAUCAGCAGCCACCAUUAGCAAUUUUUUAGGGCUCAUAGCCAAAAAUGGACAAAUAACUUCUCUUAGUCAUAGAGAUUGGAGACUAGUUCCAAAAACAAAUAAAAACCUUAUGUAGAACAUCGUACAUGUAGAAUUACUAAUAUUUAUAUUCCCUUUGUAUUAUUUGAUAUUUGUCAAUAUAUAUCUAAUCUUUGAUGCAAAGAAAGUUCAAAAUUCCAGAAGAAGGUAAAAAGAUGGGUUAUGAUGUCCAUUGGAAAAAAAUGGAGAGUUCAAAUGUAUGUUGAAGAUCGAAAUUGCACUACGACCCUCAUACCACUUAUGCAGAAAGAAUAGCAGACCGUGAUUCACGGGUCUUACCAAAUGAAUGGGAAUUUCUUGUCAAGUAUUGGAAUUCUGACUCGGCAUUGGUAUAAGAAUUAAUUCUUAGAAACUUUGUGGUGCCUUUUAUAUAUAUGUUUUCAUUGAAUUCACUACAACAAAAUUAGGUUAUAGGGACACAUGUUUGGAACACUUUUGAGUAAGUGUCCUAUUUAUGCUAAAACUUAAAAAAAUAUCUACUAAUGUCUAAAUAUAAAGCCCAAUCUAACCAAAACUAAAACAUUACUCUACUCAACCCACCACACCCAGUCCAUUUGGCCCGAUUACAAACAGAAAAGAAAAAAAAAAAGAAAAAUCAAUUACCAUCUUUUCUUCUCUCUUCACUCAAUCUACUGAAAUUCUAGACGAAGAGCCUUUCCUGUCAUCCUCCUCCGCCACCGCAGCCAACGAGAUAAAGUUUUGGCGGUUGCUAAAUGCUUAAGUAAGUGUUAGUAAAUUAGCAGCACUCUUUUAGGUUAUAGCGACACUCUUUAACUGUCACUAUACCUAGCGACCCCACAUAUAGCAACACUUUUUAAAAGUGUCGGUAAUUUUAGCUAGCAGCACUUUUUUGACAUGUACCUAUAUUUAAAAGUGUCGUUAUAGACCGUUUUUGUUGUAGUGAUUUUAUCUAUACAAGUGAAAGCUGUAGUUUAGGAUAUACAUUUUCAUAUAUUUUAUAUUGAUAACUUGCUAGCUUGACUGUAUUGGAUUUAAGUUUUAUAUGUCUUUGACUCAUUAUAGGACCGUAGUGCAAAAAAUAAAGCUACUCGUAAGAAGCAAGAUAUCACGCAUACCGCAGGCACAAAGUGCUUUGCAAGGGUUCGUGCAGAGGUAUGAGAAUUUUCAUUCUCUUUCAAAUUUUGCAUAUAAAUUUGCUAUUAUAUUUUUCUAAACAAGCUAACUUUUCUACGUGUUACUAAAUGACAAAGGAGAGUAAAGUUGCACCUAAAAGACAUGAGUUAUAUAUAAGAACACAUACUAAAAAGAAUGGCGAAGCUCUAGAAAGCUGCGAAAGUAACAUUGUAUGUUUUUAACAUAUUAAAAUUUUAUCUAUUAUCUCAUAAUAGUAUUCUCUCAUUUAAUGUCUUUUUGUAGUUUGCAAUCCAAAAAUUUUCAUCUCAUCAUCCAAAAAUUGCACAAAAAAAUAUAUCUCGAGAUGAUCUUUUAGUGAUGGCUCUAGGAGAGAAAAAAUGCGGAAAUUAUGUUCGUUGCUGCAGGUUGGGUGCUGCUCCCUCAGAAGUCUUUGGCCCAAAUCCAACUCGAGCUGAAUGCUUAAGAAUGCUUUCCGAAACUAAAAGGAUAGCCGAAGAAGAGAAACAUGUAACGCAAAAAGAGAUUGUUGAAAUGAGGCAAGAAAUAUUGAUGAUGAGGGCAAGGUUGGAAACAAUGGAAAAAAGAUCACAAGACUUGAAUACGAUUGAAGAUAGAGACAUUCCAUCUAAUCCAAUAGGCACAUCUAAUCCAAUAGGCAGUGCGCAAGUAAACUCGAGUUGCAAAAAUAAUAUUCCCUCUGAAGAACCGCCAAGUAAUGAAAUACAAUCUUCUGAAUCGAGCUUUGAGGUUCCACGAAAUCAGGUAGUUCUAUUUUUAUUAAUUUAUCUUAAUAUUCUUGUAUAAAAUAUUAUAUGCAGUUAAGAUCAAUAUGGUUGUCCAACAUAUACAAUAUUUGAAUGUAGGGUUAUUGAGUAAAAGUUGUUGGAAAGGAAGUCCAUACUAUGUUAGAUAAUGGGGUUAUCUUCUAUUACUUAUUCUAAUUCUUUUUGUUACUUAUUUCUUAUUCAUACAAAUCUCAAUUUUUAUUUUUUUAGUUAUAUUUCAAUAUUAUUCCAAUAUACUUUUUAUGUCAUUAAUUACGUAUAUUAUUGUGAUAUGAUAUUUGCUAACUAAUGCAAAUUAGUCUUAACUUUUUAAAAAAUUAACUAUAUUUCUUUAUUUUUACUGAAUAUUAGGGUGGAGUUGAAGUAUAUUUAAAGAGUUUAAGAAAGCCUCACAAGUAUAUUGCACAAGGUUCUUUGUUUAGCACAAAUCCAAAUACUAAAAUAGAUGGUGCCGAGUUAAGAUCACAAUGCUGGGAGGUUCAAAUAAAUGUUCCAAUAGAGCCUAACGAGCCGUUAUUAAGAUCAUAUGGGAGUUUUCAAACAAUUAGAAACGCUGUAUCAUGCCCCGGGGUCUCUUUUUGAUUUAAAGACUUAUGCAGAAGUGCCGAUUUUUUUUUUUUUUUUGAAAACCUUGACCCCAGGGGAUGUUAGAUCCGCCACAAAUACAAGGUAUUCACUGUUUACACGGACAGAGUCUCCCCUGUAUUUGCAUGGUGUCGCACAAGUACAAGAUACAACCACAAGCAUUAACAUCCACAUACAAACACCAUUCACAUACAUCAUUCAUUUCAUCACAGAUAUUCGUAAACUCACAUCUAUUAGUUUAAAACGUUUCCUACCCGAAAACUCAUUUUGAAACACUAAGAGUCAUGAAACCAAGAAAAACCUUUUUAAAACCGUUUCCCACACGGAAACCUUUUCCUUUAAAACACGCUACCACGAGGGGUAGAAAACUAUUUUUAUCUCAUAAA
RNAcentral lists this long non-coding RNA (10675 nucleotides) under Ananas comosus (pineapple). RNAcentral's name for it is "long non-coding RNA (ACOM_LNC002143)". The record is from RNAcentral. Lineage: Eukaryota; Viridiplantae; Streptophyta; Magnoliopsida; Poales; Bromeliaceae.